AGGAGAGAUGGAAUAGGGCUGGACCACCCAACUGUGGCGUUGUUUGAGGAUCAUCUAAGGUAACCUGGGGCAUGGCCGGUGCACAGAAGGUUCCUGAUUUCAUAGCUGUGUGUUUUUGUCAACCUGCCUGCCUUCAAGAAGAUGCCAAAUGAACCCGGAUCACUUUUCUCACACACUGGAUGCAGCCCUGCUGUGAAGAAGGGCCCUGGGAAGCUGGUGGGCUAAGGAAAGGCAAAAUCGUGGAUUCUUUCUAAA
Peromyscus maniculatus bairdii (prairie deer mouse) is the source of this 255-nucleotide non-coding RNA. Lineage: Eukaryota; Metazoa; Chordata; Mammalia; Rodentia; Cricetidae. The record is from RefSeq and is a predicted model, not a curated record.